CCUUAAAGGCCGAGCGAGCCGCCCGCGGCUUCAAAGAGGUAGCGUUCUAAAAUGCUUAAUAACUUUUUAACCGCUAAUCCUAUCCAUCUGAUUUAAAAAGUGAGGUAAAGCGGCUAUUCUAGGCUUUUUGCUGGUAUCACUAUGUCCUUUUCCGGGAUUCAGAGGCUCCGACGUGAUCGGGGCAACGUUAUCACAUUUUACAGCCUUGAUUCGUCAAGGAGACCCACGCGGCCCCUCUGUCUGAGCCAAACAGCAAAGGUUUUAGACUAAGUCCCACCCCCCUGUGUCCGGAUAGGUUUAAAAUGUAAAGGUCCAGGCAAACCUCUGCCCAUGCUACCAUCUUCUCGACCAAUCAACAUAGGUUGCUGUGUAUGUUUUUGGCGGCGGGAGAUAAACAAAGAGAAACAGAGAGACGAGAGAGUAAUACUAAAGAAGAGUAAUUCUGCCAGCGUAAGAGAAAUAAAUACAACACGAGAUAUCUAGAUACAGUCACACACACACACACACACACACACACAAAUACACAUACAUACACACACACACAUAUCCCAAGACAAAUUCAAACCAACAUGUCAAAACGGCGUUACACUACGGAAGAAGCCGUAGAAUUUAUUUGGUCUGGCGGACCGCUUAGCAAUGCAGCGGUGGAUUCCUCAGAUUCUGAAGCUGACAACUGGCAAUGAAGAGGAGUAUGAUCACGGGAUUGAUCCCUUCGAAGAUAAAAAAUACAGAGGAUGAGAGAGGGGAUGCACAAGCCCCUGUCCCCAUCAGUAGGCCUCCUUCAAACCGAGAGGGAAAAGAAUGUGGCCAGGAGGGUGCAGCAUCCAGAAAAAAGGCCAAACCAAUGCCAGUAAAAGGGAGAGGAAGAGGAAAAGGGAAAAAAACAUCUCUGACCCCAGAAGAGCCAGGAGCUGUUUGGAACGGACCUGAGGUGCCAGAUACUUCCCAACAACUACCACACUUUUGCCCGAAAAGAGCCCCUGGAGUCCAAGGUUUUGUUGGUGUGGAGUAUACUCCUGCACAAAUAUUUAGAAAUUGUUUUAACAACCAAGCUGUAAAUAUCAUCUGCAAGAACACAAACAAAAAUGCUGAAAAGGAGCAGGCUAAGGGGGAAAAGUUUGUUU
Gymnodraco acuticeps is the source of this 1124-nucleotide long non-coding RNA. RefSeq lists it as uncharacterized. NCBI's taxonomy places the organism in Eukaryota, Metazoa, Chordata, Actinopteri, Perciformes, Bathydraconidae. The record is from RefSeq and is a predicted model, not a curated record. The transcript is spliced from 2 exons.